CAGGUUUACCUGUGUGACUGCGUACCUUUUGUAUAAUGGGUCAGCGACUUAUAUUCUGUAGCAAGGUUAACCGCAUAGGGGAGCCGAAGGGAAACCGAGUCUUAACCGGGCGUUAAGUUGCAGGGUAUAGACCCGAAACCCGGUGAUCUAGCCAUGGGCAGGUUGAAGGUUGGGUAACACUAACUGGAGGACCGAACCGACUAAUGUUGAAAAAUUAGCGGAUGACCUGUGGCUGGGGGUGAAAGGCCAAUCAAACCGGGAGAUAGCUGGUUCUCCCCGAAAGCUAUUUAGGUAGCGCCUCGUGAACUCAUCUCCGGGGGUAGAGCACUGUUUCGGCUAGGGGGCCAUCCCGGCUUACCAACCCGAUGCAAACUGCGAAUACCGGAGAAUGUUAUCACGGGAGACACACGGCGGGUGCUAACGUCCGUCGUGAAGAGGGAAACAACCCAGACCGCCAGCUAAGGUCCCAAAGUCAUGGUUAAGUGGGAAACGAUGUGGGAAGGCCCAGACAGCCAGGAUGUUGGCUUAGAAGCAGCCAUCAUUUAAAGAAAGCGUAAUAGCUCACUGGUCGAGUCGGCCUGCGCGGAAGAUGUAACGGGGCUAAACCAU
This 609-nucleotide ribosomal RNA is filed under the name Salmonella enterica subsp. salamae serovar 58:d:z6. RNAcentral's name for it is "partial 23S ribosomal RNA". It matches the Rfam family "Bacterial large subunit ribosomal RNA", at positions 580 to 1190 of the family's 2925-position model. The record is from RNAcentral. Lineage: Bacteria; Pseudomonadati; Pseudomonadota; Gammaproteobacteria; Enterobacterales; Enterobacteriaceae.